This 374-nucleotide ribosomal RNA is filed under the name uncultured delta proteobacterium. Its description in RNAcentral is "bacterial SSU rRNA". It matches the Rfam family "Bacterial small subunit ribosomal RNA", at positions 114 to 470 of the family's 1533-position model. The record is from RNAcentral. Lineage: Bacteria; Deltaproteobacteria.
CGCGUAAAUAAUCUACCCUUGCAUCUGGGAUAACCCACCGAAAGGUGUGCUAAUACCGGAUACGUUCUUUUUAUUGCGAGAUAAGAAGAAGAAAGGUGGCCUCUGAUAUAAGCUACUGUGCAGGGAGGAGUUUGCGUACCAUUAGCUAGUUGGUAGGGUAAUGGCCUACCAAGGCGACGAUGGUUAGCGGGUCUGAGAGGAUGAUCCGCCACACUGGAACUGGAACACGGACCAGACUCCUACGGGAGCAGCAGUGAGGAUAUUGCGCAAUGGGGGCAACCCUGACGCAGCGACGCCGCGUGGAUGAUGAAGGCCUUGGUCGUAAAUCCUGUCAGAUGGAAAGAAGUGCAUAUGUAUUAAUACUACAUAUGUUU